GCGGGCAUAGUUUAGUGGUAAAACUCUAGCCUUCCAAGCUAGUCAUGCGGGUUCGAUUCCCGCUGCCCGCU
RNAcentral lists this transfer RNA (71 nucleotides) under Neosynechococcus sphagnicola sy1. It matches the Rfam family "tRNA". Rfam says of the family: Transfer RNA (tRNA) molecules are approximately 80 nucleotides in length. Their secondary structure includes four short double-helical elements and three loops (D, anti-codon, and T loops). Lineage: Bacteria; Bacillati; Cyanobacteriota; Cyanophyceae; Neosynechococcales; Neosynechococcaceae. The record is from Rfam by way of RNAcentral.